UGUCUCUGUGGCGCAAUCGGUUAGCG
RNAcentral lists this non-coding RNA (26 nucleotides) under Xenopus tropicalis (tropical clawed frog). Lineage: Eukaryota; Metazoa; Chordata; Amphibia; Anura; Pipidae. The record is from RNAcentral. RNAcentral also lists the same sequence under 2 other names.